AGUGAACGCUGGCGGCAGGCCUAACACAUGCAAGUCGAACGACCCUUUAGGGGGUAGUGGCGGACGGGGGAGUCACGCGGGGGAACGUGCCGUUAGGUUCGGGAUAAUUCAGGGAAACUUGUGCUAAUACCGAAAGUGCCCUUCGGGGGACAGAUUUAUCUUCUUUAGAGAGGCCGGCGUCUGAUUAGCUAGUUGGUUUUGGGUAGGGCUAACCAAGGCGACCAUCAGUAGCUGGUCUGAGAGGAUGAUCAGCCACAUUGGGACUGAGACACGGACCAAACUCCUACGGGAGGCAGCAGUGGGGAAUCCUGCGCAAUGGGCGAAAGCCUGACGCAGCCAUGCCGCGUGAAUGAUGAAGGUCUUAGGAUUGUAAAAUUCUUUCACCGGGGACGAUAAUGACGGUACCCGGAGAAGAAGCCCCGGCUAACUUCGUG
RNAcentral lists this ribosomal RNA (434 nucleotides) under uncultured bacterium. RNAcentral's name for it is "partial 16S ribosomal RNA". It matches the Rfam family "Bacterial small subunit ribosomal RNA", at positions 29 to 507 of the family's 1533-position model. The record is from RNAcentral.